AGAAUUGCUGAGAUAAAGAAGAGUAGUAACAAAAUUAUUUUAAGCGAGCUUCGUUAGGUGCAAGGAAGCAAAUAAUGAGUUGUGAAAAUCCCUUUUGAGCUAUGUACUGAAAGUAUUUAUAAAGUGCAUUGGUAGCACCCAUUAUAGUGCCGGCGUAUUAUUUAGUACGUUUUAGAUUGGUUUAUUUUAUUAAUAAUAAAUCGAUGAAUAUAAGGUGGUACCGCGUUUUAUGACGCCCUUAGU
This 243-nucleotide non-coding RNA is filed under the name Apilactobacillus ozensis. RNAcentral describes it as "Lactobacillus ozensis T-box sequence". It matches the Rfam family "T-box leader". Rfam says of the family: Uncharged tRNA acts as the effector for transcription antitermination of genes in the T-box leader family. T-boxes are found upstream of many aminoacyl-tRNA synthetase genes and some amino acid biosynthetic genes usually in Gram-positive bacteria. The anticodon of a specific tRNA base pairs to a specifier sequence within the T-box motif, and the NCCA acceptor tail of the tRNA base pairs to a conserved bulge in the T-box antiterminator hairpin. Lineage: Bacteria; Bacillati; Bacillota; Bacilli; Lactobacillales; Lactobacillaceae. The record is from RNAcentral.